AUUGAGCGCUGGCGGCAGGCCUAACACAUGCAAGUCGAACGAGUGGCGGACGGGUGAGUAAUGUCUGGGACACUGCCUGAUGGAGGGGGAUAACUACUGGAAACGGUAGCUAAUACCGCAUACAAUCGGAUGUGCCCAGAUGGGAUUAGCUAGUUGGUGGGGUAACGGCUCACCAAGGCGACGAUCCCUAGCUGGUCUGAGAGGAUGAUCAGCCACACUGGAACUGAGACACGGUCCAGACUCCUACGGGAGGCAGCAGUGGGGAAUAUUGGACAAUGGGCGAAAGCCUGACCGAGCCACGCCGCGUGGGUGAAGAAGGUUUUCGGAUCGUAAAGCACUGUAAUUUGGGAGGCGUUACCUACCCAAAAAGCCACGGCUAACUACGUGCCAGCAGCCGCGGUAAUAC
Molecule: ribosomal RNA, 406 nt
Filed under: uncultured bacterium
Lineage: Bacteria
Description: partial 16S ribosomal RNA
Rfam family: Bacterial small subunit ribosomal RNA
Source: RNAcentral